RNAcentral lists this ribosomal RNA (463 nucleotides) under uncultured bacterium. Its description in RNAcentral is "SSU rRNA". It matches the Rfam family "Bacterial small subunit ribosomal RNA", at positions 26 to 518 of the family's 1533-position model. The record is from RNAcentral.
AGAAUCAACGCUGGCGGCGUGCCUAACACAUGCAAGUCGAACGAGAAAGUGGAGCAAUCCAUGAGUAAAGUGGCGCACGGGUGAGUAACACGUGACUAACCUACCUUUUAGUGGGGGAUAACCUAGGGAAACCUGGGCUAAUACCGCAUAAUACCUACGGGUCAAAGCAGCAAUGCGCUGAAAGAGGGGGUCGCGGUCGAUUAGUUAGUUGGCAGGGUAAUGGCCUACCAAGACUGUGAUCGAUAUCCGGCCUGAGAGGGCGCACGGACACACUGGAACUGAAACACGGUCCAGACUCCUACGGGAGGCAGCAGUGGGGAAUUUUGCGCAAUGGGGGAAACCCUGACGCAGCAACGCCGCGUGGAGGAUGAAGUCCCGUUGGGACGUAAACUCCUUUCGAUCGGGACGAUAAUGACGGUACCGGAAGAAGAACGCCCCGGCUAACGUUCGUGCCAGCAGCCGC